UGGGGAAUAUUGGACAAUGGGCGCAAGCCUGAUCCAGCAACGCCGCGUGGAGGAUGAAGGUCUUCGGAUCGUAAACUCCUGUCAGAGGGGACGAAGGUUUGGGGGUGAACAAUCUUCAAGCUUGACGGUACCCUCAGAGGAAGCCCCGGCUAACUCCGUGCCAGCAGCCGCGGUAAUACGGAGGGGGCGAGCGUUAUUCGGAAUUAUUGGGCGUAAAGGGCGCGUAGGCGGCUUGUUAAGUCAAAGGUGAAAUCCCUCGGCUCAACUGAGGAACUGCCUUUGAAACUAGCGAGCUUGAGGCCGGGAGGGGGUAGCGGAAUUCCCAGUGUAGCGGUGAAAUGCGUAGAUACUGGGAGGAACACCAGUGGCGAAGGCGGCUACCUGGACCGGUUCUGACGCUGAGGCGCGAAAGCGUGGGUAGCAAACAG
Molecule: ribosomal RNA, 428 nt
Filed under: uncultured bacterium
Lineage: Bacteria
Description: bacterial SSU rRNA
Rfam family: Bacterial small subunit ribosomal RNA
Source: RNAcentral